This 466-nucleotide ribosomal RNA is filed under the name uncultured bacterium. RNAcentral's name for it is "partial 16S ribosomal RNA". It matches the Rfam family "Bacterial small subunit ribosomal RNA", at positions 28 to 507 of the family's 1533-position model. The record is from RNAcentral.
GAUGAACGCUGGCGGCGUGCUUAACACAUGCAAGUCGAACGAUGAAGCCCAGCUUGCUGGGUGGAUUAGUGGCGAACGGGUGAGUAACACGUGAGUAACCUGCCCUUAACUCUGGGAUAAGCCUGGGAAACUGGGUCUAAUACCGGAUAGGAGCGUCCACCGCAUGGUGGGUGUUGGAAAGAUUUAUCGGUUUUGGAUGGACUCGCGGCCUAUCAGCUUGUUGGUGAGGUAAUGGCUCACCAAGGCGACGACGGGUAGCCGGCCUGAGAGGGUGACCGACCACACUGGGACUGAGACACGGCCCAGACUCCUACGGGAGGCAGCAGUGGGGAAUAUUGCACAAUGGGCGCAAGCCUGAUGCAGCGACGCCGCGUGAGGGAUGACGGCCUUCGGGUUGUAAACCUCUUUCAGUAGGGAAGAAGCGAAAGUGACGGUACCUGCAGAAGAAGCACCGGCUAACUACGUG